CACUGGUCGAGUCGGCCUGCGCGGAAGAUGUAACGGGGCUAAACCAUGCACCGAAGCUGCGGCAGCGAACGUAUCACUUAAAGCGAUUCAGCGGAUGACGAUUGACGGAGCGAAGCGACGUCAAAGCGUAUACAAAGUCGAGUCGGUUUAAGGAUACGUUCGUUGGGUAGGGGAGCGUUCUGUAAGCCUGCGAAGGUGGCCUGUGAGGGUUGCUGGAGGUAUCAGAAGUGCGAAUGCUGACAUAAGUAACGAUAAAGCGGGUGAAAAGCCCGCUCGCCGGAAGACCAAGGGUUCCUGUCCAACGUUAAUCGGGGCAGGGUGAGUCGACCCCUAAGGCGAGGCCGAAAGGCGUAGUCGAUGGGAAACGGGUUAAUAUUCCCGUACUUGGUGUUACUGCGAAGGGGGGACGGAGAAGGCUAUGUUGGCCGGGCGACGGUUGUCCCGGUUUAAGCGUGUAGGCUGGUUUUCCAGGCAAAUCCGGAAAAUCAAGGCUGAGGCGUGACGACGAGGCACUACGGUGCUGAAGCAACAAAUGCCCUGCUUCCAGGAAAAGCCUCUAAGCAUCAGGUAACACGAAAUCGUACCCCAAACCGACACAGGUGGUCAGGUAGAGAAUACCAAGGCGCUUGAGAGAACUCGGGUGAAGGAACUAGGCAAAAUGGUGCCGUAACUUCGGGAGAAGGCACGCUGACAUGUAGGUGAAGUGAUUUACUCAUGGAGCUGAAGUCAGUCGAAGAUACCAGCUGGCUGCAACUGUUUAUUAAAAACACAGCACUGUGCAAACACGAAAGUGGACGUAUACGGUGUGACGCCUGCCCGGUGCCGGAAGGUUAAUUGAUGGGGUCAGCGCAAGCGAAGCUCCUGAUCGAAGCCCCGGUAAACGGCGGCCGUAACUAUAACGGUCCUAAGGUAGCGAAAUUCCUUGUCGGGUAAGUUCCGACCUGCACGAAUGGCGUAAUGAUGGCCAGGCUGUCUCCACCCGAGACUCAGUGAAAUUGAACUCGCUGUGAAGAUGCAGUGUACCCGCGGCAAGACGGAAAGACCCCGUGAACCUUUACUAUAGCUUGACACUGAACAUUGAGCCUUGAUGUGUAGGAUAGGUGGGAGGCUUUGAAGUGUGGACGCCAGUCUGCAUGGAGCCGACCUUGAAAUACCACCCUUUAAUGUUUGAUGUUCUAACGUGGACCCGUGAUCCGGGUUGCGGACAGUGUCUGGUGGGUAGUUUGACUGGGGCGGUCUCCUCCUAAAGAGUAACGGAGGAGCACGAAGGUUGGCUAAUCCUGGUCGGACAUCAGGAGGUUAGUGCAAUGGCAUAAGCCAGCUUGACUGCGAGCGUGACGGCGCGAGCAGGUGCGAAAGCAGGUCAUAGUGAUCCGGUGGUUCUGAAUGGAAGGGCCAUCGCUCAACGGAUAAAAGGUACUCCGGGGAUAACAGGCUGAUACCGCCCAAGAGUUCAUAUCGACGGCGGUGUUUGGCACCUCGAUGUCGGCUCAUCACAUCCUGGGGCUGAAGUAGGUCCCAAGGGUAUGGCUGUUCGCCAUUUAAAGUGGUACGCGAGCUGGGUUUAGAACGUCGUGAGACAGUUCGGUCCCUAUCUGCCGUGGGCGCUGGAGAACUGAGGGGGGCUGCUCCUAGUACGAGAGGACCGGAGUGGACGCAUCACUGGUGUUCGGGUUGUCAUGCCAAUGGCACUGCCCGGUAGCUAAAUGCGGAAGAGAUAAGUGCUGAAAGCAUCUAAGCACGAAACUUGCCCCGAGAUGAGUUCUCCCUGAGACUUUAGGUCUCCUGAAGGAACGUUGAAGACGACGACGUUGAUAGGCCGGGUGUGUAAGCGCAGCGAUGCGUUGAGCUAACCGGUACUAAUGAACCGUGAGGCUUAACCUUACAACGCCGAAG
This 1896-nucleotide ribosomal RNA is filed under the name Salmonella enterica. RNAcentral's name for it is "partial 23S ribosomal RNA". It matches the Rfam family "Bacterial large subunit ribosomal RNA", at positions 1143 to 2925 of the family's 2925-position model. Lineage: Bacteria; Pseudomonadati; Pseudomonadota; Gammaproteobacteria; Enterobacterales; Enterobacteriaceae. The record is from RNAcentral.